Molecule: ribosomal RNA, 1469 nt
Filed under: human gut metagenome
Description: bacterial LSU rRNA
Rfam family: Bacterial large subunit ribosomal RNA
Source: RNAcentral
GGCUCAGAAGCAGCCAUUCCUUGAAAGAGUGCGUAACAGCUCACUGGUCGAGCAUGCGGGCGCAGACAAUGUAACGGGGCUAAGCAUUAUACCGAAGCUGCGGAUCUUGCGCAAAGGCGCAAGGUGGUAGGGGAGCAUGCCGUCAACCGGCGAAGGCGGACCCGCGAGGGCCGCUGGAGGAAACGGCAGAGAGAAUGCAGGCAUAAGUAACGAAAAGACGGGUGUGAUUCCCGUCCGCCGAAAACAUAAGGUUUCCAGGGUAAAGGCAAUCUGCCCUGGGUAAGUCGGAGCCUAAGUCCAGGCCGAAAGGCGUAGGCGAUGGUAAUCCGGUUCAAAAUCCGGAACCUCCGGCAUUUCGAUGCCACGACGCAUGAGGCGACGUCCGGCGGGAGAACGGUAGUUCCCGUCCAAGCAUUGAGCCGUCAAGGGAGGGGGUUAAAUGAUCCUCCCAGGCGAGAUGUGACAGCGAGCUGAGAGAAAGUCGAAGCGAAGCGGGCAGAGUCAAGGUGCCGAGAAAGAGUGGCUAGGCAAGGUGCCGGAGUCCGUACCGUAAACGGACACACGUAUGUAGGAUGAGUAAUCUAAGGCGCUCGAGCGACCUCGCGUUAAGGAACUCGGCAAAAUGCGCACGUAACUUCGGAAGAAGUGCGGCUCCUGUUUGAAAGGAUAAGGAGCGGCAGAAAGCAGGCCCAGGCGACUGUUUAUCAAAAACACAGCCAUCUGCGAACCAGCAAUGGGACGUAUAGGUGGUGACACCUGCCCGGUGCCGGAAGGUUAAGGGGAGCGCUCAGGAGCAAUCCGAAGGUGCGAACCGAAGCCCCGGUAAACGGCGGCCGUAACUAUAACGGUCCUAAGGUAGCGAAAUUCCUUGUCGGGUAAGUUCCGACCCGCACGAAUGGUGUAAUGAUUUGGGCACUGUCUCAACGCGAGAUCCGGUGAAAUUGAAGUCCAGGUGAAGAUGCCUGGUGACUGCAGUUAGACGGAAAGACCCCGUGAACCUUUACUCCAACUUGGUGCUGAAGAUUGGACUAGCAUGUGUAGGAUAGGUGGGAGACUGAGAGUCGUGCCCGUUAGGGUGCGAGGAGUCGUCGGUGAAAUACCACCCUUGCUGAUUCAAUUUUCUAACCGCUGCCGUAAUCCGGCAUCGGGACAGCGCCAGGCGGGGAGUUUGACUGGGGCGGUCGCCUCCCAAAGUGUAACGGAGGCGCGCGAAGGUCACCUUAGGGCGGUUGGGAAUCGCCCGUCAAGUGUAAAGGCACAAGGUGGCUUGACUGCGAGACGAACAGGUCGAGCAGGUACGAAAGUAGGUCUUAGUGAUCUGGCGGUAGCGUGUGGAAGCGCCGUCACUUAACGGAUAAAAGGUACUCCGGGGAUAACAGGCUGAUCUUGCCCAAGAGUUCACAUCGACGGCAAGGUUUGGCACCUCGAUGUCGGCUCAUCGCAUCCUGGGGCUGGAGCAGGUCCCAAGG